CCUACGGGUGGCAGCCGUGGGGAAUAUUGGGCAAUGGGCGCAAGCCUGACCCAGCAACGCCGCGUGAAGGAAGAAGGCUUUCGGGUUGUAAACUUCUUUUCUCAGGGACGAAGCCAGUGACGGUACCUGAGGAAUCAGCCACGGCUAACGACGUGCCAGCCGCCGCGGUACUACGUAGGGGGCAAGCGUUAUCCGGAUGUACUUGGUGUAAAGGGAGCGUAGGCGGGAAAGCAAGUCAGUUGUGAAAUCCAUUGGCUCAACCUGUGGACUGCAUUUGAAACUGUUUUUCUUGAGUACUGGAGAGGCAGGCGGAAUUCCUAGUGUAGCGGUGAAAUGCGUAGAUAUUAGGAGGAACACCAGUGGCGAAGGCGG
This 372-nucleotide ribosomal RNA is filed under the name uncultured bacterium. Its description in RNAcentral is "partial 16S ribosomal RNA". It matches the Rfam family "Bacterial small subunit ribosomal RNA", at positions 338 to 724 of the family's 1533-position model. The record is from RNAcentral.